This 22778-nucleotide long non-coding RNA is filed under the name Gallus gallus (chicken). Lineage: Eukaryota; Metazoa; Chordata; Aves; Galliformes; Phasianidae. The record is from RNAcentral.
UGUGUAAGAGCCAUAUAAAAUCAAGUAACAUGUAGGAGAGAAAAGGGGUCAUGAAGGAGGAGUUUGAGCAAAAAGUAAUGCUAAAAAAGAAAAAAAAAUCCAUUGCAAAUGGUAAUGUAAAUAAGGUAAAACUUGAAAACUAUGAAGCAAUACUGCAGAUAGUCAUGUCUGAAGGAAUACCUAGAGGGUUCUUUUUGGUGGUGAUCUUCACUCCUGGAUCUGAAUUUUUCUGGACUGUCUCCCUUACCACUUCUGCAGGACACAAUUGCAACAGAAUUUUCCUUGAAUCAACGGAGGACUAUUACUUGAUGAGAUCAUUGUUUUCAGGUAAAUACUUUCCUAUUGUAUAAAUCAUCAUCUUGCAGGUAAUCUGAAGCAGAUAUGCUGCUUGUACAUAAUAAUGAGCUGGUUUCCCCAAUUACCUGUUCUUAUAUCUACUGUGCUGAGGAAUUUGGUCACUUUGAGUAAUCUCCACGCUGCUCAUUACUAACUUGUCUGAAUACAAAUAUAUUUCUAACUGCCAGUGGGUCUUGAGAUAGAUUCAAGACAGGACUAUCAUCAUCUUAGACUGUCAAGGCAAUAGGAUAAGUUAUAAUACUUGUAGACCGAUACAAAGAUGAAACAGGGUAAGUGUUAAGAUAGACAUUUGAGUAAUAAUAUGCUCACAUACAGAUUUCCCCAGGAAGGAAAUACUGUCAACACAGUCAGUGUCUGAGUUUAUCCUCUCAGUGGAAAAGGUGGGUGAAAAACACUUAUUACUUCCUAUGUGCAUAAUUUAAACCUGUGAAACAUACUGCAGAAAUGUAAGGAGCCAUGAAUUUAGACACCGUUUUCAGCUAAAAUAAAGGUUAAAGUUUGUCUGUAGUGUAAGCCUGAGGUUGCAAAUACCCUCAGAAAAUGUUGAGUUUUGUGUGCAAAAGAGUAUGGUAGUGCAAGUCAGGCUGAAGGAGACAAAGUACAAAUUCAGAUAUUUCUAUCAGUAUUUACCUAAAAAUUAAAAAAUGAAACAAUAUUUUCCAAAGUACAGGCACACAGGCAGCAGGCUUGAAAAUUGCAGCAAUUCUCGGUUCUUUGCUUGUUCCAUUAUAUUUAUCAUAUGCUUAGUGCUUUAUGGGACUGGCAGCACAAAAUUUCUGAUUAGAAGUUUGUUCACUGUAGUUCAUCACAAAGUGCCUGUGUUCUUUAUGCUUGGUUGAACCACAAAGAUUCUUGCAGCAACAUUGUGAACAACUGGAUCCCAUAAUAUUUCAUGCAACAAAACUAUUGAACAGAAGGCAUGAUUUAGGUGCUAAAGUAUUUUAUGGCACAUAUUCUUAUGUGAUAUGGCUUAGAUAAGUUCAGAACUCUAUUCAGAACAUCCAGUCUUAGAAUAAGGGUUGAUAAGUUAUUUUGACAAAAAUCUGUUUACCUUCCAAAAAUGCAUACAUGCAGGACAAUCAGUGCAAACAAUGGACAGAGAAGAUAGUGAGUAAGAGAUUAAUUCAGAGAUCCUCAGUCAAAGAAAUAGUUCCACAUACUUUUUUAUUUUGUUUUGAGGAUAGGUAUGAUCCUACAAAGAAAUUUGCCACAAUCUUUUGAUAUUUAUGCAAAGGAGAACAGUUGACAGUAGAUAACAAUUUGAAUGCAGGCCUAAAUCAGGGGACAAUAAAACAUCACAGUAUAAGGAAGGCAUAGGUAUGCCAGCGUUAGCAAUGUCUAAAACCUACUCCGAAUUUGUGGUCACAGCACAAGGGAUAAAAUAGCAAUGUAGAAUUAGUAUGAUUUAAGAAAAUCGUAUAUGUGUCUUGACCUGCAGCUGACACCAGUUUAAAUUAUGCUGAAGAAUCAACUCUGACUCCUCAAUGCUACCAAAAUACUUUCUCCUGCAAACAAUGGAAUUAUCUCCUCCCACACAUACCAAGAUUCACUGGAAGUUCAAUGUAACUCAGCACAUGAAAGUAUUUGGGCAACAUUCAUUUCAUAUUUGUAAGUUGAAGUAAUAACAAGGAAAGGAGCUCUCUUGGGGACGGAUACGAAAUGUUCUGUGCUACCAAGAAAUGGAAAGAGGAAACUUGUAGAUGAUAAAGAUAAAAGUGCAAGAUGUACUGAAUGUCCUAAAGGGAAAGUAUACCCUGCAAAGCCCUCUGCUCGGCCAAUGUCUGUUGUCUGUUCUUUCUCUGGAGCUUUACUCACUAGAGAGCAUUACUCACUUAUAAAGUGAUUUAAGUGCAGGCCUCUUUGUCUUGUGGGUUUAUACAUUGGCUUUAGUCCUGUGUGCUUCUUAAUUUAAAUGCUAACUGAGAUCACAAAUGUCAUUGGGAGGUUUGUUCCCAAACAACCCUCUUGCCACUCAAGCCGCUUUGUAGCCUGAACUUUCCAGACAGGAGGUGUCUCUGGCCUUAUGAACACAAGAAUGUAAACCUGGAGAGAAGCCCCUCCAAGGUAAGAUAGUGCUUGUAAUUGUUUUGCUCUUCUACUUUUCUUGUCAUCAAGGCAUCAUGUCUUUCUAAAACAUAUGCUACAACCACAGAGGAAACAUCAUCAUCUUAGUGAAACAUCUGUGGGAAAAAAGCUUACGUGAGAUGUUGUACAUAGGGAUAGACUAGAUCUUACCAUGUUUACUUUCUGACUUCAGAACAAGUGGACAUUCAACAAUGGUAAGAAGCCCAAAUUUAUAUUGUAUUUGAAUUUCAUAGAAUAUUCACAGAAGAUGUGUCUGUAUAAUUACUAAUAUUCUCCUAGUAACUGUAAUUUUAAUAAUAAUGCUUGUGAUCAUUGGAAAAAAAAAGGAAAAAGUAAAUGCUCAUCCAGAACAUUCUGUUAAGCAUGUGGAUGAGUCAUUGAAAGAAAAAAGAAAAAAAAAUUGAGCUUUUUAUUUUUUUUUUUAAUGAAUUACUCACUCAUGGAUCUAGACACAUCUAGCAGAUGUCAGAAUGUGUGAUGUUCGUGUCAUCACAAGUGGCAAGUUAAAGCACAAUAACAUUUUUUUUCUCUCCUCUGCAUUCUGUGACGGGAUACUUGCCAUUACUAAGAUGUAGGAACUGUCAGAUUACAUUUCUCCCAGUCUUCAGAGACACUGCCACAUCAUAUACUCGUUUGAAAUCAGCAAUGUUCAGUUCAUUCUCUAUCUCAUUUUCCACAGAACUUUACCCUUUUACAAAAUUACUAAUGUGCUGCUUCACACACUGGCGUUUUUGCGAAGCUUUGCACUGGAGGAGGCACUCAAAGCAAAAGUCCUAACUCUAAGAUACUAUUUAUCAGCCACUAUGUUUUUCUGCUAAAAACAAAAAAGACACCCAGUUUAGUCAUCCAUAAGUCAGCCUAGAAAUCAUGAAAACUUUUCUUUCUCUCUCACCCACAUUUGAUAAAUUUACAACUGACUUUUCUGUUGACAACAGGAGAGAAAGAGGGAAGAGCAUCCCUUCAACUGUUAGCUGUUUUGGUGCAGAGAAUUGUUUGAAUCCAACUGCUGCAGGCUGAGAGCAGUGAAGCAAUAAUACAGCAGGUUUAGCUCCCAACUGUCCCUAAUUUUUUCAUUAACAAUCUUCAUAGUUUGUCCUCUGUCUAGAGAAUUCCCUUCAUUAAGUAUGCAGAUUUGGAAAGAAUGAAAAAUGCUUGGUUUUAAAAGCAAUGGCUGGAUAUUUCAUCAUAUAUUCCAGCUCCUUCUCUCAUUUUCACUCGUAGCACCUUGCUUAUAUGUUCUCUUUUGUUUUUACCUAUAUUUCUGCUUUUUGCCACAGAUGUUUUGUUGGGUUAUUUUUCCUGUCACUUGCAUGUUGUUUUAUUUCAAAUCCCAAUUUUCUGUUGUGAAAGGUUUGUAGAUGAAAAAAAAAGGAGAGACUAAGUUGCAGAGUGUAUUGACUUCUCUAGAUUUACAUUUCCAUCAACAUUCAUAGUAGUCUAAUUAAUUUGUGGACCUUGCAAGCUUUCUCCUUCCCAAAAAAAAAAAAAAAAAAAAAAAAAGUGUAUGUAGGCCAACUUAGGGUAGUUAAGAAUCACAAUUCAAGUUAGAAAUAAUAACAAUUCAAGAAAGAAAACAAUCACCAUUUUUGGUCUCUUUCUUUUCUGUAAGAGGUCAGAGCCAACACUUCCACUGAGUUCAAGAGGGAGACUUCUCUGCCUUUAUGGUCAAGUAAACACAGUUAAAAUACAUAAGCCAGACAUAUACAGACAAAAUACAUGGUCUGUUUCUAAGGCCAAAUUUGGUAACCAAUCACAAUGAAUUCACUGUUUCUAAAUGAGGGCAGAAGUUGUCCCUACAAGACAUUUUCUUUAUUUAUGAUUUUAGUAAGCUUUGUUGAGUUUAUCAAGGCCUUCCUUUUUUUUAGUUGGUUGGGUUUUUUUUUUGUUUGUUUCGUUUUUUGUUUUGUGCGCACAGACUAUCUCAUACGGUGGAUUAUUAUUCCUUGUCUCCGAGUAUAUGACAGUUUUGUAGCACACAAGAAAAAACAAUGUUAUGAAUACUUAUGUGCGGUAUCUUUCUUCAAGAUGAUGCUACUGUCUAUGCAAAGAUUGCAAUUUUGAGAUGAAAGAAAGGACACAUUCGUAAAUGGUAGCACAGUCCUGAAAUUUAUACUAUGGAUUUCAGCUUUUCAGUUUAGUUAGAAAAAUCUUCAGGCUUUCAAGGCAUCCUCUGCAGUGAUCCAGAGAUAAGCUAAACCUGAACAUUUUUUCAUGAAAAAUGAAAGAACACGUUGUUGCUAAUACACUAUUAGCUGAAGUUUUCCAAGGGAUAGGAUUGAAGCUCUGCUCCUUUCAAGAGACAGUCUGACAGCAGCCACACUAGAGCCAACUGUACAGUCACUCUCCAGUGCAGCCAACAAACAAGCUGAGGGAAGACAGCUAAGGGAUCAGACCCAGGUCUCGCCAUAGACGUAGCUGUUGGAAACAUUAUAUUCUGAAACAAAACUGAAAUAAAUUAUCAGCAGAAGUGUGGGACUGACUACACCCGGAAUGACUAAUAUUUUAAUGUUGAAGGAAAUUUCCCAGACUGCACUUUUAGAGACCACUGCUUAUGACUGAUAAUAUCAAGGACAGAAAGUGCAGGAAAGUAGUCAAGGAAUUGCUCACAGGAGGCUAAAUCUGAACACCUUCUUCCUCCUUGUUUUUGUGAUACUUGCUGAGAAGAUGCUGAUGUUUUCAAGGUCAAAGUUCUCCAAAGAAGGUUAUUCCAUUCUCUUGGUGAAUUCUCCAUGACCACAGACUCUCCACUCUGUGUAGGGGACAUUUUUUGAGGUACAGAGGAGAGUUAGAUGCCCAAUUCCCAUUAUUUCUCAAGGCAAUUACAUGCUUAACUGCCCUCUGUGCCUUUUAUAACCUUCCUUUUAGGAGUCAGAUGUCCAUGAUUACAUAGAUUAUCUACAAGUUUCACAACAGCAGUACUUUGAGGUACUUUAAAAUGCUAUUGGAAGGUUUGACAACAUACAUAAAAUGUAGAGUAAUGAUCAUAGAGUCUAUGGAUUGUUUGUUUUAAGAAGCUGAGAUUUUAAUGCAAAAAUAGGAUACAUUUUUAAGGAAACAUACCCUCAGCCUAAAAUACAUAUAAUUAUGGUUUAUUCUGUUGCUCCAGUGGAUUAAAACAUUCAUUAUACGAGCCACAGAUAAGAUAUAAUCUGGGAGGCUGAUGACUUUUGCAACAUCACAGAAGAUUAAAGGGGAGAUUUUGUUGUAAACUAGUUGAGUUUGUAGAAAAAAACUAUGUCUACUAUGUGGUAAAAUGAUUGCUGUCACUUUCAGCUCUGGCUUUUCUAUUCCAUUUUUCAUAGUCUAGCUGGCUGUAAAUCUUCAAAAUUGCAUAAUGCCAAUUAAGAAAAUAAAGAGCAAAUUGAGAUACCAGUACUCAUAGAGGAAUGUUGCUGGCUGAGGCCCCAGAUAUUUUUUGUGUCUCCAGUGAUUUGCCUGUAACUGUUCCAGGAAGUUUGGGAAAAGCUUUGCAUUGACAUCAUGCUAUAAAUGCUGGAAAAAGCUUUAUCCUGGGAAAAAUUUGAGUCCCAGUUCAGUGUCCUGGGUAACCUAUCCUACGACUUCUAUGGAUAUUCUCAAGGUUAAUGAAUUCAGCAGAAAUCUAACCCAUCUCUUUCUAUGCUUUCAAAGCUGUUUUAUGGAAGAAAAAGUUAACAAAUUUUUUAUAUCUGCAUUAUUUUCUCCUGAUUUUACUUUUCCCAAAAUCUUUUGUUUUUUGUCUUUUCAAGUGCAGCUGCUCCUAUGAACCACAUAAUAGGAAAGUAUGUUAUACUAUUAUACUUCAUUUAAAAAAAAUACUUUAACAGUAAUUUAUUCUCACUAACAAAAGAAACAGAUGAAGGAUGGCUCGCCUUUUCUUAAAACAUGGUCUUCAGGAUUGUUUGCUUCUUUUUAUAAAUUAAAAGCAGUAGACAUAAUGACAGUAGGCAUAGAUCAAACUAAUUCCUGGAAAAAAAUAAAACAUCAGAAGGGCCAUUUAGAUUCAGUUCAUAAAGAUAGCCACUGUGGAAAGUUAAAUCACUGACAAGUGAGCUUCUGAGGAGGAGGGAAAGCAUCCAGUGACUGUUAGGAUCAGUACUUAAUCUCUUAGUUGAAAAUUCAAUAGAGUUACUAUUUAGAGGGGUUUUAGUUUUCCAGGAAUUAUUGUUACUUCCACCACUUGUCAGUGAAUGGUUGGGUUUUCUGAACCAAACUGUGUGACUCAGAAUACUUGUGAUUACAUCUCUGUGGAAGUAUCAAGGACCAAGAAGAUGUGCUGUUCUUGCGGCGUCUGUCUCUCACACUGAUUGAGAGAAAAGCCAGUUGACUAGUUUGAUCUAGAAGCCCUAUUUUUAGAUGAACUGAUUUAGGCAAGAAAAACCUAACUAAAUAAAUUCCAAUUACUGUAUUGCUGUUCAUUUUCAAGUUAAAUCUUUUAGUAUGAAAGAUCUGCAAAAUAAUUUUGUGAGAAGUAACAAUCCUUUUCUUGUAAUAGUGGUUGGGAAAAAAAACAGGAAAUAGAACAACCUUGCAAGUUCAUAAGAAAUGAAUUUCUUUUGCAGUUAUUGCUAAAUGUGCCAUUUUUUUCUGACUUUUUAUUCUUUGUGUACAUUUUUUCAUAAAUAUGUUGUACGGGAAAAAAUUGUUUUAAUAACCUCUCACAUUUGGCAAACUGAAACCCCGAUGUCUCAUUUCACUUUUCUGAUAUUUCACAGCCAAGGAUUAGCAACAUUUUAGAAACAAUGCUAAGACUGUGUGUACUUGUUGUUUUUAAUAAAACUGUCAAGUGCUAAACCCUGUGAGUGCAUAGGUAUAUUUAUAGAUUAUUUCUCUCCAAAUGAAUACGAAGAAUUAUUUUUAAAACCACAUUCCCAAAUGUAAAGCUAGCAAAACAAAGCAAUAUUUCACUAUAAAAAAAUAUGCAAAAACUAAUACAUGUUUUGGACAGACAGAGAAAGACAUGUUUCAGUAUUCUGAAAAUAAUCUGAUUCUAAAUAAGACACACAAUAAAAAAAGAACUGUUAGAAACUAAUUUCUUUCCUUUUGCCUUCAGUGUUUUUUUUACUUUAUUCAAUACAGAUUAGUCAAUUAUAAUCUAGUACUACCAUUUCAGAGUAUAACAGCUAUUAUUGGACUUCAAAAAUAAAGGUAAAUGUUAUUUAUCUGCUUAUGAUACAGGUAAUGAAUCUCAAGUAUAGGCAGAUUACACCCAAGUUCAAAUACUUACAUUUAGUCACAUUUUUAGUUUUUAGUCACUUAUUGGAUUCAGAAACCCAAGUCAACUAAACUGUCUGUCUUCACAUAAUCAUUACCUUCCACAUUUACUAAAUCUGAAAGAUCUAUCUGUACCACUAUCCUUUGUAGACAGUGAACAAACCCAUCUAUUUUAUUCAUAACCUUCAGUAUCUGUAGUCACAUUUUCCUACCUGAUAUCAGCUCCAGAAAUGUUAGGAAUGGUGCCUAAAUGUUAUGUUUCACUGUGAUUCUUCUGAAAAGCAUCAAUACAUCGAGACAGUGUUCAUUUUGACGUUGGUGGCAAUGAGAACCAGAACUGCUCAACUCAAGGCUAGAGAUUCUCCUAGACUUUAAGAAUAGUUCAGCUUUAAGAGUAGAAAUAAUCUGAUUUGAUGUAGAUGUCAACACUGGGUUCUCUUGACAGACAGUGGAAAUCUACUCAGUAGUUCAGAUUGUGAUUCAUAUCAUUCUAAAGUAAACACUUAAAAUAGGCCAGAGAAACCAUACCCUAAUCAAGUCUGCAGAGACUUCAGAUGGAGCCUAAGAUGAUGAACUCAACUGAAGAAAGCUGAUGUUACAAGGAAUCCAUGCAUGUACUAUACAAUACAACAUUUAUACAACAUUUAUUGACUGUUGUAGUCCAUUGUAUCUAGUGUCCUAUAUUCCAAAGAAGAAAAAAAAAACACAAAAAAACCUGCAAGGAUAAAGAUUUUUAAGUCUUCUGCAAUCUUACCUGUAAAAUACAUCCCCAAACCUUAAUAAACCUUUUUUAGAGUUACAACAAAAAUAGUGUAAAGAGACUCUGAAGAAUUAAGACCUUUAAAAAAAAAUAAUAAUUAAAAAAAGUUGAAAUUAGACAUGGGAUUUCAAAAGCAAGGAGAUUUGAAUGUCUAGUGUAAACUGAGCAACCAUAUCCCUUGGGCUUCUUUGAAAGCCUAAAUAUUAGUAAAAGGAAAAUUAAAUCAGGAAAACAUUGGCACUUCUUACCAUUUUGUUACUGGAAAGGGACUGCAGCAAAAAUAGCUAGUUCUCUUAGAGCAAAUGUGUUAAUGUAAAGACACUGUUUCCUUCAUUCUACAAUAUCUUAUUUUUGGAGAAAAACAAGCAUUCCAGUUGCCACGUUUUAUUCAGUUCUGUUUUUUUCAGUUCAGGUGAAUCUAUAUUGAUGGAACCUCUGUCGGCUAAUUUUGUAAAAUACAACUCACAAUAAUCUUGUGAGCGCAGCUCUUUUUCUAAAGCACCAUUUAAAGCAUUUUAAAAGUUUGCCCAUGUUCCACUCCAACUACACAGCAUUAAGCUCUGUCCAUAAAGGAUUUUCUGAAGAGAUUUUGAUAGGAAGACUUGCAAUGAAUACCUUGACUAAUAAAAAUUUAAAAAUACACACUGUAUGUAUUUAUAUUAGUCUGUCUCUUUCAACAGGAAGUGUUAUAGAAAUGCGAUUACCAGACACUGAGGUUUUUUAACGUAUAAAAUAGGAAAGAGAGAGGACAAGCUGUGGUGAAGAAAAUGCAAGCAUUGUACAACUCAACAGACCUCCUGUCCCAGAGAGAUUUAUUUACUGGAAAUUACGACAAUGAUUUAUGGGCAGCUGGAAUUUGCAUGCAUUGCUCCGAAUCUGUGGAAGAAUCUAUGUGGUUGUUCAUGGCCUUCAGAAACAUGGAUGCUGCAAAGCAGAGCUAUGGAGAAUAUGGAAAGCAGGCUCAAAAAGCAUCUGCAAAUCUGUGCCAAUAUUAUUGCCUCUGUCAUCAAGCAAUGGAAAGGUUUUUCUAGUUAAAUUCAAGUAAUUAAAUCUCCCUGCUCUCAUUAAAAAAAAUACAACUGUCUGCUGCUGGUCUGAAGAAUUGCACAGAGUGAACGUAAAUUUUAAUUUCAUGGUGCAAGUGUUAAAUUAUUGCCAUCUAAGCUGUCUGCCAGUGUUACAUGAAAUCCCACCACAUUUUAAUAAUUCUCCCUUUGUUUUGGAUGGAAAUACCACGUGUUGUGAUUUGGAAGUUUUUAUGUGCAAUUAGAGCCCUGAGAACUACAACAUAAUCACAUUCAAUUCACCUAAUUGGACAGCGAGGAAACUGUCAUUUCUGAAAUGGUUUGUGUCUUUUGGAAUGUCUGUGUGUAUACACAUGCGUAUAAAAUGAAACAUUUUCUCACCCAUCCUGUGUUAAAAUGUAAUAGAAACUCCUGCUAACUGAAGUUGAAGAUAUAGCUGGGUGUUCUUUAGUAACCUCAAAACAUAUACGUGUGCGUGUAAAUAAAAAACUGUCCUUCUAAACACAAGGAUCCUUCCCUCCUACUUACUUUGCAACAUCUUAGUAAGGAUUUGCCAUCAAUUCCCUCUCUUUACAGUGCAUUUGAUGACAUUUUACAGAUCAUCAUACUAAAUAAGUAAGAACCAUCCUCUGAUUUAGAAGAAAAACCUUUAUUUAUUUCAAUUUAUUUUGGGAGUUCAGAAGUAAUGACAAACUUGACAAUCUUCAUGACAAACAUGACAAUCUUCACAUCACUUUAAGCUGUGUGACCAAAAAGCCAUUAGCUUCACAGAAACAGACAAUACAUUUCAUCCUGAAACAACACUUAUGAUCAACAUUUAUGCAAUCUAUAGGUACUUCCUAUAUUUGUAUCAAUGCAAGUAAGAAGACAUGGAGUAUCAAACCAGCAAGGGCUUAGAAAUAUCAAGCCCAAGAGUUUACCCAUUUACUUCAGUGGAAAAUAGUGCUAGUAAAUAUCAAUACAUAUUUUAAUCUUUUAUUUCAGUAAUUUCCAUGUAAAAGCAAACAUAUUCUGCCAACUUUAUUCAUUGUCUUUGAUCUUUUUUUGAAGCAUAUUAUGAUAGAUUUCUGAAUCUUUUAAUUCAAUGUUGAAGUAGAUAUUAAGUAUAUCACAACACCAAUCCACACUAAAUAGAACUUUUGUUUUUUGUUCUUUUGCUGAAAUGUCUGACAGUAUUUCAAGAAUAAUUUAAUUAUGAACUUUAUAUUAACAAAAGACAAGUGAUUUUUUAUUCCAUUCAGUGUGGAAUAAGAUACUACCUAUAUUUGUUAAGCCCUGUGUAUCAACCAGAAUUUGCAAAGGGAAGUUAUCAACUUCAGAUACUCAUUCUCCAUUUCCCAUAAAUAUGUUAAAAAUACAAAGUCAGCUCCUAAGUUUUUCAUCAAAUAAACUAGCUUAUUAAGAUUAAGUGGCCUGAAACCACCAUCUGUGAGUUCACAUUUAUAUCUAGAAAACCUGUAUAAUCAUGUGUAUUGAGAGUAAGGCUUAGUGUUGGAAGGCCCAACCUUGUAAACAAGCUUUGUUUACACAAGAAGACAAUAGGACUCUUCUUUUGUUUCAGAGUUUACAUGUUCAGAGGCUGAGAUCACUAUUUUUGAAAUGUGAUGAUGGGAAUACAAAGUAAUUACCUUUAUGAAGGUUUUACAAAGAAUCCUGUAAGUAAAGCCCAUGACAGAAAUAUAUAGUGUCUCCAAAGAAACAAUUAUGAUGUAUUGUGUUUGAAUAAUAACUCAGAAUGUUUUAUCAUCAUCUGUUUACAUAAUAAGUCAUAAUAACUUUUCAAAAUAUGGUGCUUGCAUUUUUAUUAUUGUUUUAAGUGUACAUAGGGGAAUUACUACAGCCUAGAAUCAUAAACUUUGUAAAACUUUGUUGAAGACUGCAUUUUUAUUCCCAUCCUCUUCUGCUCAAACAAAAAUGUAAAGGAAACAACACACAAAUAAAAGUACGCUAAAAUAAUCCCAUGUGUCUGGCUAAAAGAAAAGACAGGAAAUUCUUAAAAGUGUGGUUAUAAACUGAAAAAUGCCUUUAAACAUGGCUUCCUACUGUCUCACAUUUAUAUAUUCAUAAUUAUUUCACUAUCAAUAUUUUCUUUGCUUAUAUGUACACAAAUUACAUUAUUCAACAUGCCAAGACCACAUUCUCAGUCUGAUAUCUGGAAUACAAAGCCCUGUUGUCACUGGCUUCUACUACAGUGUUAAAGAUGGAACUGAGAGAAAUUCCUAGAUUCCCUCUCCUGGAAACUUUAUGAUUUAAGCCUACUUCUGACCUUUAGCAAUAUUUCCUUGGGGAGACUGAGGUCCAAAUUAAACUUUCAGGAAUUACAAGAGAAAUUUCAAUGAACUCUAGAGAUGCCAGAAAGACAAAUGACAAAAGUAGUUAAAGCAAAAGUGCUGAGCACGUCUUAAGUGCUUCAAUUAGAACUCUUGUUCCCCACAGGAUGUUCCAGAAAGGUGUAGAGGUGCUCACAGACCCUCACAAUGGUUUCAGACAUCUAGCCCACAAAGUAGAAUCCAAAGCCAAGAUUAGAGAGCUGUUACCUACAGAGAACAGAUGAUGUUAUGUGAGAGGACUAACAAAGUAGAAACAUUAUGGAGUUAUCUAGAAUCUAACUCAUAAUUUUGAAAGUCAGAUAAUGCCAACCUAUGUAGUUGAGGCACUCUGUCACAGUGGAAGACUGUGGUUAUUUCCAUCCACUCAGUGUCCACAGACCAUCAAGGUAAUUCAAUUUUUGUUUCAAAGGCUCCGUUUUUUUAAAAAAACAUAACCACUGUUGAAGAUGAGAUGUUAAUAAUGGAACAUAGGAUUAUUCUUAGUUCUACUAUUUACUGAAAAAUAGACAUACAAACUGUGUGGGGCAAAGACAAAGGCCAGAAUCCUGCUUGCUCCAUAAAAAUUGUUUCCUUCCUCAUUUAUCUCCUUGAAUCUUAAUGAGUUUUGCAGUUGUAGUGCACAUCUGUACAGCUAUGUAGACUAGCCUGGGACCCAGUGGGUAAGGUGUGCCUCCUCAGAAAUUAGAGUUUAAAAUACCUGAGGUCAAAGCAGAUGUAAAAAGUUGUCUCCUUCUGAAAGGUUUCCAGUUUUAUUGGCAUAUACUACGUUUGUCUGAGUGCACUUUCCAGGUCUGUGCUAUAAGCUAACACUACCAUUUAUCUUCUGGAUUCCCAGACUGUUUAAGUCAGACAGAGGUACAUGCCCGCUUCACCCUGAGCCCUUCUGCGAAUGGUCAGAAACAGAAUACUGUGUGAUCUCAAAAAGAUUCAGAGCAAACAUGGAAGACAGUUAUGUUUAAAUGACACUCUGGUUGGGCAGGCACUGAACGCAGUAACAGUUUCAACAUAGACACCUUAAACCUUCCAGUAUUCUAUUUUAGGUAAGUUGUUUUAUUGUCUCUAACCUGCUGAUUAUUUGUGAGAUGUAAAAAUGUGCAGAUACGUCUCCCUCAUCUGAUGUUGCUUCUUUGCUGCUAAGAAGGAGGUAAAACAUUACUCUUACUUAAAUUCUGCAAUGAAUGAGCACAACAGUUCAUUUCUAAAAAGGUACAUUUUUUUUUCUUUACAUGGAAUGUUUCUGAAUUCUUACUUAUUUUUCCUUAAAGUCUGUCAGAUGUGUAUCAUUCACUUUAAAGUUAUUUCCCACAUAGUUGCAUUCUUAAGGUAAAAAGAUCAAAAGGAUGGAUGGGUUCAGAGCACAAGCUGUAAACUAGUUAUAAUUCAAGAUGACUGACAAUAUUUAAAUCUUGUUCUGACAAACUAUAUAAAUGACUAAAGAACAUGGAUUCUUCAUGUGACUCUUUUAAACAAAUUUCUGCCUAGAUAUAGGUAGAACCAGGCUUAUCCUACAGCAAGAUAGAGGAUCUGGGCUCAGCACAGCAGAGCAGUACAGCCACAACUGUGUCUCACAAACAGAAGCACGUAAACCGGUCUUUUUUUCUCUGGUAAAUACAUACUUACAAUUACCUGAUAGUUUGCCAGCAGUGCUAUUGGUCAGCAAAGAUACCACUUAUAGCCACACCAGUGGACUCUACAUAGAGAGUUGGAACAUACAUAUUUCGUAUAUGAUGGCAGAUUUUUUUAUACAGAACUUCCUUUCACUUAAUUAUUAACUGCUAUAUAACCUGUCAAAGUGUGUAACAGACUGAGUGAACCACUUUCUGGGGCCAGCAUUUACUAGGAUAUUUGCAGAGCAUCAAAAUCAUACGUGGAAAGGAACUAGUUUGUCAUCUUAGGUCAACCAGCUGAUCACUUCAUCUUCCAGGAUCUUUCAAAAUGGUGCAUUUUAUUUUCUUGUGGGAAAAGAAAACUUUAACAAGAAAUUGAAUCCAUUACCCGUUUAGUGCUGUCAUACUGUUCUAUUGAGUUUUAUAGGCUGGUUCAAAAGUUUACAUAACUCUUAUUUGGUAUUAAAAUUUAUAGUGUUUUUUGAAUAAUUUCUGAAAUCCUUUUGGCUUCAUGCUUCUUCCAGUGUAUAAAUUUUUCCCUUUCCAGUGUCGUCCUCUUUCAGCAUAUAGAUCUUUCCUGGCAACAUUGAAGCAAAACAGUAUCAGACUUUAAAGUCAGAAUCUUUCCCCAUUUAAGUGCAUCCAAAUAAUCAUUUCCUCUCCAUUCUUGGUGUUUACAUGCAUCAAAUACUUGAAGAUAGUUAUGCUUCUUAUGAGCCACUUAGUUAAUCUCCAAUGUACAUACACAUAUUUUACUCCUUUAAUCUUUCUUCAUAAAUAAGUUUCUCUGUCCCCCUUAAUCAUACUUGCUAGUCCUCUCUAUAUUCUCUCCAAAACCUUUUAUUUCUGCUUUCAUUUUGGCUGUCGGAACCAUUGCUUUAAAAUUUCUUCAUUCUAAGUUUACUUAAGUGCCAAAAAAAAAAAAAAUUGCUAGAAAUAAAAAUAGUAAUAAGUUUCAGCAUAAAGCAAACAUAUUCCAGUUAAGGUAAUGUAUAUUAUAAGCACUCCUUUCCUUUUGCAAUUAAUAUUGGAUUUUCAUAGUGUAACAAAACAUCUUUAUUGCACUAGAAUACAGGAUGGGAUAUACUUUAUCUGUCUUUCAGAUUCUACUGUCCUUUCUAAACAUUUCUCACUGCCUGAAGCUUAAUUGAUCUGUUUUAGAUUACUAAAUCAGGGUGGAAUGAUGAAUCACAGCGUUGACUUUGCCAGAUAUGAAGAGAGUUUAAGACAUUCAGAACCUGAGCUCAUGUGAACCGACAUUAUCAGAAGUUUAUAAAUACAGACUUCUGCAUCUGGACAGAUGAUUUGUGAUAUCUUCCAUACUGCAUGAAAGCACAGGAUAACCAAAGCAGGCUUGUUAUUCCAUAGCAUACAAUAGUUCUUCAAAACCAGGAUUGUUAAGGUGGUGUAUUUAUCUGGAGACCUCCAGGAUUUUCAGACUAAGAUGCAGCUUUGUGUCUAACUGCAGCCUAGACAAUACAUAGAUGGGAAAAUUCUCAGUAAUUAAAUAUCAAGACCCCCAAGGCAUUACAUCAUUCUAUCAAGGAACUGAGUAUUCAAGAAGUUAGCAUCAGAGUCAACAUUUACACAAGACACAUGCACAUUAUGUAAUUAGAAGAUUAAGGUAAAAGUAAGACACUGCCUUUGGGAAAAUCUGUUUCUUAAUUGGCAGAAAGAUGAUUAAACUUGCCACAUCAGAUACUUUUGUUAAAUUGAAGAUCUUAAGAAAACAAACUCUUAUUUAUAAUUCUCAUCCCCUUAACUCCUGAAGAAGAGCUGGAAAACCACUGAAUUUCUUGUCAAAAGAAUCAUGAUUAAAAACCAACCAAAAAAAAAAAAAAAAAAAACCCACCUUGCUGUGUUUAUUCAGUCCCUCCAAUAAUCUUAAGGCAGGUUUUCCUUGAGAUAUCAUAUUGUUCCUCAGGGAAACGUUUACUUCCUAGAAGCUUCUUCAAACAUAUUUUUUUCCUAACCAAGAAACACAAGAAUUAUAAUUGGAAGUGAUCUGCAAACCAUUUACAGAUGUGUGGCAAUGAGCUAAUCUCCUUUACCCACAGUUAGUAGAGCUUCUUCAUACCAGCAUUAGUGGUUCAGAAGAUCUGCUUCUCCACAAAGCUGUGCUCUUAGAAACACAGGGAGACUGGAGAAGUUGUUGAACCACCACAAGACUUGAGAAGCUAUGGAAUCACCUCUGUUGAGCUGGGAAUCAACACAAUGCUUUCUCAGAACAGCUUUUGAAACACCACUGUAAGCUACUGAAAGAUGCGUGAAUGUUUCCUGUGAACAGCAGGGAGUAUGCCCAGCAAAGGAUGGUGGGACUUACUUUGCUGGUAAAAUAUUUUCAUACAUGAAAGACAAAGCUUUUCCUCCUCAGCCAUGUAAGACUAUGACUUCCAGAAGUGAUAAAAUGAUCGGUAGUGCAACAUAGCUCACUGUGUACCUGGCAUUUGGUUAUCUGUAUUGUACUUUCUAUAUUAUUUCAGUGAACUGAAAAAUUAGUCCAUUAUUCUGAUGGCAGAGACAACCAGCUGUCUUCUUGAUAAGAUGUUGCCUGUUUUUCUCUCUUUUCCUUUUUAACCUGUUAAGCUGUUUAUGUAAUAAGUGAUAGCAAGUCAGACGGUUCAACUAAAGUAAAACACUGCUAAUGGAAUAUAGUGUGUUCAUUGUUUUAAAAAGUCUUCCAUAGAUAAUAAGUGUUUGUAAAAAAGAAACAUUUUGAAGUAUUAGUUUAUGCUUGCUUUCCAUUUCUAUUUUAAGCCUACAUAGAAUAAAAAAAAAGAUGGAGAGACAAGAAAGUAAAAAUGAUAGCACUCAGAUAGUCACAACACACUGAAAGAUUUUGUUUGACAAAAGCAUUGCAGUUCCUAUAAAAACAAAGCUUAGCAGAUUAAAAAUAAUAAUAAUAAUAAUUAGCCUGCUAAAAAAAUUCUCUUUUAUCAUUUUCCAUCAGAAAAUCAAAAAUAACUACAAUUGUUUUAUUUAAUCUGUUCCUGUAAAAUAGAUUUGCAGUAUUCUUUCUCCCGUAUUUUCAGAACUGAACAAUUUUUUACCAUAUGUGCUGUUUUAGUGCAAGUCUCCACUUUCAAAUAUUUUUAUUUUAUGAUGUCUCUUCUGCUUUCUUUCAUUUGCAGGUUUGUUCUUCAUUCUUGCAUCACAGCAGGAGUUGUACCCUUUAUCAGUGUUGAUGUCUUCUUAAAAGAGGGUCUGUGACCGCAUUUGAAGUAUCUCUACUACCAGUUGUGGUGAUUUCACCCUGAUGUGCAGCUAAACUACUACAUCAUUCUCCUGUUACUCCUACUCAAAGGAAGAGGGGGAGAAAAUGAAAUGAAAAAAGGCUCAGGGUUUGAGAUUACCGUCACUGAUCAGUGAUUAUGAGAAUAAAUAAACAUAGUGUGGAAAAAUCUUUGUAUAGUCAUUAAAAUACCCAAGUGUGGCAUUCUAGUAGAGAUUUAAUAAGGAGAAGAAACUGACCCUCAGACUUAGGAAUUCAUUUUCUUUACUUUUCUACAAGGACAGACAUACAUCUCUCUAUCUAAUUUAUAUAUACAUACGUAUAUAUAAAGCAAAGCUUUUAAAGAAUUUUUAUUUAUCAUUGUAAAAUCUCUACUUAGAAUUGGAAAGAGAUAGAAAAAAAAAAAGUAGACUUUGAUUAUCACCUUGAUACAUCUAAGUGUUUACAGUGGGAGCUAAGCUGUAGCAUAGCAAUGUAAUAAAAAUAGAAAGUAAAGUGACGUAAAAAGUGCACUGAGGACUACCUUAUAACUAAUUCCAAACGUUCAAGAAUAGUAAAUGGUUAACAGUGAUGCAAAAGGAAAUUACAGAAAAAACAAUCAAAAAGGACUCCUAAACAAUGAAAGGAAACAAAAAAUUAAUAAAGCAGAAGACUGAAAAACAGAUAAGGAGAGCAAAACGGUGAAAGAUUUCACAGAAGAUUAUGAAAUUAGCACAAAAAAUUUUUAAACAAUCCUAAGAAUAAACUGUCAUUGAAGAACAGAAUAGGGAUUGUGGAGGAUCAUUUUUUAAGGGAUGAGGUAAAAAAAGAUGGAAAAUUUAAACAAAUUCUUCGCAUAGCUGUUCAGAAAGAAAUGUCAGCUCGCAGAGCUGUAGAAAUAUAGGUACAUAUUUUCUGGAGCAAAAGGAAGGAUAAAACACCUAAGUAAACACACACUGUAUGUGACAUAGUACAGAUGACAAUCUUAGCAUGUAUCACAUAAAAUAAUUUCUCAGUGCUAAAGCAUAUGCACUUCAGAAUUCACAGAAAGGGACAAAAAACAGCAUCACUCUUCACAAGACUAAUUUACAUCACUUCACCAUUCAGAUAACUUUUCCUUUUCAAAAUGUUGCUUUGAAGUCACAUGGGCUACUUACAUGACUGACAACUCUAGGACUGCAGUGAAAAAGAAGUUUCAGUGGAAUUAAAGAAAAAGUAACGGGAAGUGUGCAGGAGGUAUCUGUGCAAAGAAGGGCCCCAUGCAACUCCUCUCACAGCUUGCCUCUAAAAACUCAAGAACUGGGUUUAAAUGAGAGAAACACCUUGUCUUUCUGGCAAGUUUUAGCAAUGCCUUCUAUGCAGGAAAGCAAUUUGCUUCAAGACCAAACAGAAAUGCACACUGGUUAAGAGUGAUAUAUUACAAAAACAACAGAGUAUAGCUAAAUUCAGCAAAUUAUGAAGCAAUGGCUAUUUCAGUGAGAGUCAGAGAUUCGUCUAAUGAGAUCCAGGAGUUUCAGCUCUGAACAAAAAGUGAUGAAUUCAAGCUUAAAUUCCUACAAGUAACCCCUAUUCUACAUUAAAGGUAACCAUCCAUCACAUUUUUAACUACAUCUACAAGGGAGUUCAGUAACUUCAGUCUAAAAAAUUCAAAACACAGACAUAUUUUCAGCCAAAACAAAGCCAGAGCCAGCAGUAAUUUUAAUUCUUUUCACUAAGUAUUGUUCUGGCCAUAAGACUAUGUGUAAAAUGGAUGUGGUUGAAGCCACAAUGGACUGUAAGGUUUAUAGGAUGAACAAGUUGCUAAGGAAGAGCUUGCAUGCCUAAAAACUUACAUUAUUCCAGCUGGAGUGCAUCCUGUAACAACAGUACUUCUUUAUUCUUCCAUAUCUUCCCUAAAAAGCUGAGCGCUCUGGCUGAAGACAGGCCAGGAGAGGCGCAUGGAUGUUUGCCUUCUUCAUGUUGCCUGAAAACCUAGUCCUUGUCUCAUCUGGGAACAGGACAGUCAUGCCAAGUGGAUGCAUCUCCCUGCAUCUGUGGAGAGACAGCAAAUGUGCUGUCUGGAAAGUAUCUGUGUUCUAGGAGGUGAGAAACUGGCUUGGGCUGUUUGAUUUCACUUCUACUCAGAGAAAUGGGGCAAUGAACUUUCUAAUAAACAGGUUUGGUUCACAGAGGGAUGACUCCACCAUCGAUCAUUCCACCAGAGGAAUAACUCAAGAUUCGAAAAUUUUAACCAGAUAAUUUUAUCAAAAGAAUAAUAAAAAAAAAAAAAAAAAAAAAAAAAAAAAAAGGACCAAGUAAUGACUUAAAACAAUUGCUGUGAUAUUACAUCUACAUAGGAUCUACUGGCCUAUAUGUCAGUUUUAAUCUGCCACUGGUUAAAUCCUACAUACUGAGCAAAAUAACUUACCAACACAAUACAUGCAAAGUAAAUAAAUACUCAAGCAACACUCUAUGUCCCACAUCCACUCAGAUACCAGAAGUGUGUAUUUCCAGUCUGUGAAAUACAAUGAUAAGUAAAAACAGUGAUUCUCCAUGAGUGCAUUACUCAGAAGAAGCAAUGUUAAGGCAGUCAGUGUGAUCUUUAAAAAUCACUCCCAGUAAAUAAAUAAAUAAGCACCUCUACCUGCACAGCUAUCUGAAGACAAGUUAACAAAUUCUGUUUUCCACUUAUUAGCAAAUCAGUUGUUCUGUAAAGAAUACAUGAUCAAAACCUACAGCAACAGCUGGCACAUGUAUAAAGCGGGGCAAAAAAAUUAAGAUGAAGUAUUUCUGACAAAAAAAUAUAUGAAACAAAACAAAGUUGAAAACUGAAGCAGAUAUCAGAUAACCAUUUUGUCAUUUAUAAAAUACUUUUUCAGGACAAAAGGGGUUGCCAUACCUUUUCACUCAGCAUAUCCUCAGAGUCACAUAUUAAGCUGAUCAAAUCCGAGGGUACUGCAGUAAGCUGAAGCUUGAAGCUGCCUCCACUUCCUUCAUUUCGUUUACAGUUUUGUUUGGGGGUUGUUCUUUUUUUUCUUUUUAGCUUGCAGAAACCUGAGGGAAAAAAUAUUUUGGGGGUUACUAUCGAAAUAGUUUAUUCAGUAGUCAAUUAACUGAAAAAAACAAAUAGUUCUAAACUGAUCUCUUAUAUACCAUGCCCCUUUUUAUAUCAUAGUUAUUGGUUCCAUUCUGUUGUUAUAUUUUACUGAAAACAUUAUGAAUAUAAAUGAGAAUAGUGCACAAAGAGCAGAGGUGAAGAUAUGUCCCAUUAGAAAUCUGCUUUUUUACUUACAUUUACUGAGGUUAUCAAGUACCUCUUUAUGAACUCUUCAUCCCUUUCUAAAAGGUAAAGUUGAAAUUGGGAAAUAUAUUGCAUCAGUUAUUGGGCAUUCUGGGGUUUUCCAUUAUUUUAAAAACCUCCUAUGUGCCUAAUUAUAGCUAAUAAGUACUGUUUAGAAACAUAGCAGAGAACUCAUGAUUUCCUUCUUCACCCAAUGCCCAGAAAAUCCAUGUCCGAGAACAAAAUCUUGAAGGUAUUUGUGAUCAUGACCCAUUCUCAUUAUCUGUAUCCAUUCUAAGAUUUUUAUAUUAUAUGAAUGAAUAUUUUAAAGUGAAAUUAUAGUAUUCAAUGGCAAAUUACAACUACAUGUGACCAAGAGAGGAUUAAACCCAUCAUUUUGCUUAAGAGCUCUGAUGGCUGGAGUAAUUGGAUGAUAGCUGUAGGGCAUCUUUUUGGUCUGUAAUUAGGUCAUUUCUUUCUCAUCCCUUCACUGUGUGUAUAAUUACGAAUUAAUUUGAAAUCCCACUGUGAGUAAAGAAAGUCAGUUUAAUAUAACGGAAGUGCAAAAGCCACAAUAUAUUACUUUUUAAAAACUGCUUAUUUCAAAAUACUCAGUCUGGCCAAAAGUUAUAUCCCUAUGUACUGCAAGGCUUAUAUUUGGUUUCUUUGCUAACUUUGUACAAGUGCUGCUCUGAAAGUAAUGCCUCCUGUUUUAUUAUGUUGGUGUGCAAUGUCAGAGGUGGAUUUUGGUGGUACAUCAGGAGAGGUUGAACCUUCACACCAGUAUUCCACUACAUUUUGUUGCUGUGUGACAGAUGGCAGCAGAGGGUCAGUCUGACAAAAUGGCUUCUGACACGGAAGCAUCUGAGAAGAAAAGAUGUGGAACUGAAUUCCUCCAUGUGGUAAAAAAAUUGCAUCCAUUGACUUUCACUGAUGCUUGCUGAACAUUUAUGGAGAUCAAACAGUGGAUGUGAGCUCAGUGAGGUUGUGGGUAAUGUGUUUCAACAGCAGUGAUAGUGGCAGUGGUUCACCUCCACCGGUGCAAAUUUUUACAAGAACAGCAAGCAGGUUCUCGUUCAUCGUUGGCAAAAAUGCAUAGCUAAUGACAGUGAAUAUGCAGCAAAAUAAAGUUUGUAUUUGAGAAUUUUCUCUAUGAAAUAGUGUUAUUGUGCUCUUUGUAUUUGUUGCAGUUUCUAUGGAAAUAAACAGCAAGUAUUACUUUUGAAUCAAUCUACGUUCCUGGAUGUAUUUUCUCUCUUAAAAUAAAUGAAUUUUCAAAGCACCACACUUUGCUCCAGUAUCUGUCAGUAGGUGUCAACAGCACAAAAAGGUAGUGGAAAGAAAUAAAAAGUAACCAUGAGAGUCUUGACAGACAGUAUUAGCAUCAGAGAACUUAGAGGCCACUCUCAACACAGUCAACCAUUUUAUCCUUUAGUCCUGCCAUUAUUUCCUUCCACUGAAACUACCUUUCUGCUUUUACCCUGAAAGUGUUAAACACUGCACAACCCUAACUAGCAUACCUGCUACUAUGUGCAUCAGGAGCUCACCAUUUCAUCAUCUGGCUGAGAUAUGCUGCUGGCAAGUUCUGCUUCCCUUCCUUUAUCACAACAUUGUGGUCGGAUGCAUCAGACCUCCCUCCCGCCUUAGCAAUGAUACAGGUAAAAACAUGCAUUUCUGACAAAUGGAUAACCCCAAGCAGAUCUGUGGAGACAAUGUUUUGACUUGCUGAACUUCCUGUUUCAUUCUGUUUUCAUCUGUCCCCAGAAACCUUGAAAGGGGUCGGUGAGAGGGUCCCAGGUGUGAUCUGAGCACCAGUGAUGUCAACAGCGAGCCAGGGGCUGUGCAGGGUGUGAAGUUAAAGGGAAGAGCAGAGAAAAGACUGUUGGUGCAGAGAACAAGGGUACUGAGAUUUGACUGUAUUUGUAGCUGUGCUGUAAAAAACUGUAAAACAUCCCAUGCCGUUAGCAUAAGAUUAGAUUUCUGCCAGGAAAAAAAAAAAAAAAAAGAGAGAGAGAGAGAGAACAAAAAGAAAUGGAACUGCUUAGAUAUAAGUUCCAAAGUUCAUUAAGAGGGUUCUUUUCUGCAUAGCUCCAAAGCUAAGAUGUGCUAAGGCAUGUAGAAAAAUAAGGAGGUGUUAAAAACCUACCCAACUUCUUAGCUUUCAAAAAAAGUUCAAAGUCCUAGUCAUCGAUUAUUUACAUGGUGACCUCCAGGCCUAUUUGUGAUGCCAAAAAAAUUGUACUCAGGAAGGAAGGAAGACAUUAUCAAAAAGGAAAGAAUUUCUGUUUAAUCUAAUAAUGCCUUUAUAAAAAUAACCAUUUUCUUUUACAUAUAAUAAAAAAUUCAUUAGAAAAUCUCAACAUAUUUUUAUAUAAAAAUAAUAACUGGCAACAUAGCUAGAAAUAAGAAGCAGAGAAAGAAACUUGGAUGCAUUUCUUGCUUGCAAGAGCAUGAUGAGGAAAUAAGGUAAUCUAGUCUUCCCAUUCUGAACAAAAUAGACAUGAUAACAGAAUAUAUAAAUCAAGACAUUUUUGGAGAAAUAAUGUCACUCCAUAAUUUUUGAAAGUAGAAAUAAUUUAAAAUUCAUGCAUGAAACUAAAUAGGUAAAAUAUGUCAUUUUGAAAUAACAUAACAGUAAAAAUAAUUUGUAAAACUUUUUUUGUUUUUUAACUGAGUCUCAUUUUAUACUUGGAAAAUUUUCUUUAGAAAAUUUUCAACCUCUUCUAUGUAGCUCCUGGGUAAAUAUGGAGGUUUUAUGGAAACCAAACAAAUGAAUUAAAUGACUACAAGAAUUAUUGGCUCUAAAUAUAUACAUUUUCUUCUGAUGCUACUAGAAUGUUACUAGUAUAUACUGUAUGAAUUAUAAAAAAUGUUAUGACAGAUAUGGAAGUAAUAUACUUCGGUGAUAAAUCUUCAAUAGAAAGAAUUUAUUAGAGUCAUAUAGAUCUACU